RNAcentral lists this ribosomal RNA (497 nucleotides) under uncultured bacterium. RNAcentral describes it as "partial 16S ribosomal RNA". It matches the Rfam family "Bacterial small subunit ribosomal RNA", at positions 28 to 507 of the family's 1533-position model. The record is from RNAcentral.
GAUGAACGCUGGCGGCGUGCCUAAUACAUGCAAGUCGAGCGAACAGACGAGGAGCUUGCUCCUCUGACGUUAGCGGCGGACGGGUGAGUAACACGUGGAUAACCUACCUAUAAGACUGGGAUAACUUCGGGAAACCGGAGCUAAUACCGGAUAAUAUAUUGAACCGCAUGGUUCAAUAGUGAAAGACGGUUUUGCUGUCACUUAUAGAUGGAUCCGCGCCGCAUUAGCUAGUUGGUAAGGUAACGGCUUACCAAGGCAACGAUGCGUAGCCGACCUGAGAGGGUGGUCGGCCACACGGGAACGGAGACACGGUCCAGACUCCUACGGGAGGCAGCAGUAGGGAAUCUUCCGCAAUGGGCGAAAGCAUGACGGAGCAACGCCGCGUGAGUGAUGAAGGUCUUCGGAGCGUAAAACUCUGUUAUUAGGGAAGAACAAAUGUGUAAGUAACUAUGCACGUCUUGACGGUACCUAAUCAGAAAGCCACGGCUAACUACGUG